UCGACAAUUGACCGACAUCCUUAUCAAAUCUUCCUCCACUCAAUCGUUUGAUGCUAAUAAAUCUUCCUAGAGAGGUCUGCUAGGGAGCACAAAAUUGGGGCAAUUGUCUUCAUUAGAGCUUGAUCAUUAUUUGUAUCCCGGAUAAAGGUGAUGAAUCAGGGCCAAUCAUACUUUAUCUGGAUUUUUAUAUGCGAUAUUUGAAGCAGCAAGCAUCUUUGGCAAAUAGAUCGUUAUCCAAGUAUAAUUUUUUUAAUACAUAUUUCUACAAGAAGCUUCAGGAUUCUGUUUCGGUUAAGAUAAUAUAUUAUCUUUAUGCACAUGCAUAGCUGUAUAUUUAAUUCAAUCUUUGGAAAGAGCUCAAGAAGG
Arachis stenosperma is the source of this 366-nucleotide long non-coding RNA. RefSeq lists it as uncharacterized. The record is from RefSeq and is a predicted model, not a curated record. The transcript has 3 exons. NCBI's taxonomy places the organism in Eukaryota, Viridiplantae, Streptophyta, Magnoliopsida, Fabales, Fabaceae.